This 298-nucleotide transfer-messenger RNA is filed under the name Patescibacteria group. RNAcentral describes it as "2-01-FULL-40-14 sp001788215 X1 Standard tmRNA". It matches the Rfam family "transfer-messenger RNA". Rfam says of the family: Bacterial tmRNA, also known as 10Sa RNA or SsrA, is named for its dual tRNA and mRNA-like properties. Its role is to liberate the mRNA from a stalled ribosome. To accomplish this part of the tmRNA is used as a reading frame that ends in a translation stop signal. The record is from RNAcentral.
GGGGAUGCAUUGCAUCGACAGAAUUGUUCUUUAAAAACUGCAAGCCGACAAUGAUUCAAAGUCGUAAACCUGAAUCAAAAAUAAAUGCUAGGAACUUUCUUAGCGGUCAAAGUCUUGCGCGCGCAAAUCUUGCGUACGCUUACAACUAAGACCUGUUCGUACCACUAUUUUUCCAAACGAUAAGGUACGGGCAAAAACAAAGUUUGGAUAUGAUAAUAGUUUUGGUUUAUGAAGAAGCUUGUAGAUGUUUUUAUAGAUGCAGUUUUGGACGGGAGGUCAUUCCUCCCCAUCUCCACAA